AGGAGUGGGACGUCCACAGGCUCAGAGAGUCAGAACCCCCGCAAAGCAGCCGGCCCAGACUCUGUCUCUCCAUCCACCCUGAAACACUGCGCCGACCAGCUGUCUCCAGUGUUCACGGACAUCUUCAACUCCUCGCUGGAGACCUGUCACGUGCCAGCCUGCUUCAAAGCCUCCACCAUCAUCCCCGUCCCCAAAAAACCAAGGACCACAGGACUCAAUGACUACAGACCCGUCGCCCUGACCUCUGUGGUCAUGAAGUCAUUUGAGCGCCUUGUGCUGCCCCACCUGAAAGCCAUAACCGUCCCACUCCUGGACCCCCUGCAGUUUGCCUAUAGAGCCAACAGGUCUGUAGACGAUGCAGUAAACAUGGCUCUGCACUACACCCUCCAAACUCCCCAGGAACAUAUGCCAGAAUCCUGUUUGUGGACUUCAGCUCUGCAUUUAAUACGAUCCUCCCAGCUCUGCUUCAGGUCAGGCUCUCCCAGCUCCACGUGCCCGAUUCCACCUGCAGGUGGAUCACAGACUUCCUGUCUGACAGGAAGCAGUGUGUGAAGCUGGGGAAACAUUUAUCUGAAUCCCAGACCAUCAGCACCGGAUCCCCCCAAGGCUGUGUUCUUUCCCCUCUGCUCUUCUCCCUGUACACAAACAGCUGCACCUCCAGUCACCAGUCUGUCAAGCUCCUGAAGUUCGCGGACGACACCACGCUCAUUGGGCUCAUCUGUGGCGGGAAUGAGUCCGCCUACAGGUGGGAGAGUGACCAUCUGGUGACCUGGUGCAGCCAGAACAACCUGGAGCUUAACCCUUUAAAAACAGUGGCGAUUAUUGUGGAUUACAGGAAGAACCCAGCCCCAUCCACCCCCAUCAUCCUGUGUGGCUCCCCAGUCGACUCUGUGGAGUCCUGCCGCUUCCUGGGCACCAUCAUCACCCAGGACCUAAAAUGGGAGCUCAACAUCAGGUCCCUCACCAAAAAAGGCCAGCAGAGGAUGUUCUUCCUGCGCCAGCUGAAGAAAUUCAACCUGCCAAAGACUAUGAUGGUGCACUUCUACACUGCAAUCAUUGAGUCCAUCCUCACCUCAUCCAUCACUGU
RNAcentral lists this long non-coding RNA (1087 nucleotides) under Gadus morhua (Atlantic cod). Its description in RNAcentral is "lncRNA (ENSGMOG00000034899.1)". Lineage: Eukaryota; Metazoa; Chordata; Actinopteri; Gadiformes; Gadidae. The record is from RNAcentral.